Molecule: unclassified non-coding RNA, 351 nt
Filed under: soil metagenome
Description: partial contains 5.8S ribosomal RNA, internal transcribed spacer 2, and large subunit ribosomal RNA
Rfam family: 5.8S ribosomal RNA (bases 2-119)
Source: RNAcentral
GUGAAGAACGCAGCGAAAUGCGAUAAGUAAUGUGAAUUGCAGAAUUCAGUGAAUCAUCGAAUCUUUGAACGCACAUUGCGCCCGCCAGUAUUCUGGCGGGCAUGCCUGUUCGAGCGUCAUUACAACCCUCAGGCCCCCGGGCCUGGCGUUGGGGAUCGGCGGUGCCCCCCGUGGGCACACGCCGUCCCCCAAAUACAGUGGCGGUCCCGCCGCAGCUUCCAUCGCGUAGUAGCUAACACCUCGCGACUGGAGAGCGGCGCGGCCACGCCGUAAAACACCCAACUCUUCUGAAGUUGACCUCGAAUCAGGUAGGAAUACCCGCUGAACUUAAGCAUAUCAAUAAGCGGAGGA